GAGCAGCCGCGCGAGUUGGGAAGGACGGAGAGCUGCUGUGCAGUCUUCGCGGCUGGACGCCCUCUGACUGGGACCCCGCGACUGCAGCCCCUGGAGCUUAGGGAAUGCAGCUCGGAAUCUCUUUCCCGGGGCGCCAUCUACAGGCAGGUUAAAAAGAUCCUGAACCCCUUUUCUUCUCCCCUCCCCCCAACACACACACCCUUGCAUUGGCCUGGCUCGGGGGAAGGGCGGUGGAGGGGGGCGGCCACGGAGCUGCCCGGCCGGGCCCACUGAGCCCUGUCCAAGCUGUGCAUAAAUAGAACCCGAGUAAGGGCUGCAAAACGCAUUCAGGUGGGGCUGCAGUUACCCUGGGGAGUAGAGGGCAAAAGAAGAUUCCCAUCCAGUACUGAUGGAGUAAGAGCCCCUACGUCUUAUGCCAUGUUGAAAUAUUUUAAUUACUUAAAUCCGCCUAUGUAAAAAGCCUUUUUUCCGGCAAUAGAAUAAGUCUGGAAGAGAUCUUGGGAGAGCUUAAUAGGCUAGAGGUUGCUGCACGCUGGCACUUUCAGAGGAUUCACCCACUGAGCACCUUCUGUGCUACGUGGAAAGGCGCGCUGGGGGACACCUCAUUGCUUCCUUUUUUUGGGUGAGGCCUUGGAGACUGGCCGGGACAGCAGCGGGCCGGGUGGAUUGGAUGGAAACCCGAGCCCUGCCGCAAGACUGAGGCGAUAAUGGGAAAGUAAACAACGCCGUGGCUUUGUUCCUUUCAUUCAGGCCUUCUUCAGGUGAGUGGUGAAUAUACAAGGUACUUCUGAAUUCGUUAUGGGGAAGUUUUCAUUUGCGCUUGCAGGUAGGCACUUCUGCCAAAGUGAGAAGCUGGCGUCUUGCGCCCCCCAGCGGCUUCCUGGCAGAGGAGAGCUGCAAAAGCCCGGCCCUUCCUGGAUUCUAAGAAUGAAGAGCUUGCUCUCCUAGCAUUUCUGAACCCCAGAGGUGUCUCCUAAGGACGCGGGGAGGGGGUAGGGGGAAGCGGGGCCAGGCGGCAUUAUGCCCCGUUUGUUCGCUAGUUUCUUUUCUUUCUUUCUUGAUGUAUAAAAUGAUGAUAUGCCUUGAUUGGAUAAAAUAUGUUAAUUUUAAGUGAUUGGAAUAUAGGUAUUACUCUUUUAAAACUAUUAAACUUUUCUUUUCUUUUCUUUUUUGAGAUGGAUUCUCGCUCUGUUGCCCAGGUGGAGUGCAGUGGCACGAUCUCGGCUCACUGCAACCUCCACCUCCCGGGUUCAAGCGAUCCUUCUGCUUCAGCUUCCCGAGUAGCUGGGACUACAGGGUGAAGCGUGGAUCUGCACAUGGGGAGGCUUCAGAUGACAACUGAGACAAGAAACAGGAAGCUGAGAAAGGAGGACACCUCCCACAUACACACCUAGCAAAAGCUGGACAUUUCUGGUCAGUCAUCCUUAUGCAAAGACUUUCUGGAAGGAGCAGUUAUUCUUGGAUCCAGAAGCCAGACGUCUGUGGGGCUUUGCUCCUGAGACUGUGACCUUUGAUUCCUGCACUCCUCCUCUUGCCAUCUGACGCCGGUCUGCGCCUGUGACUGAGUGAAAAUCGUCAUAACUGUACUCGGAGGUUAACUCUGGCAUGACUGGGAUGGAAUCCCAGGCAACAUGCUGGAGGCAGGAAAGAAAGCCAGCCGGCGAGUCAGAACCAAACACCCUGGAUGGCACCUUUCCUUACACAUGCGGUUCACAGGACCCUUGGGAAUCCUCUGCGCACACCGAGGCAAGCAGCAAUGGAAGAAAUUAUCUUCCACUCCCUUCUUGGUGAAAAUGUCUAUUUUCCAGAAAUGAAUUACAGUAAUAAAUUGUGAAAA
Long non-coding RNA from Nomascus leucogenys (northern white-cheeked gibbon), 1837 nucleotides. RefSeq lists it as uncharacterized. The record is from RefSeq and is a predicted model, not a curated record. Lineage: Eukaryota; Metazoa; Chordata; Mammalia; Primates; Hylobatidae.